Maniola jurtina (meadow brown) is the source of this 77-nucleotide long non-coding RNA. RefSeq lists it as uncharacterized. NCBI's taxonomy places the organism in Eukaryota, Metazoa, Arthropoda, Insecta, Lepidoptera, Nymphalidae. The record is from RefSeq and is a predicted model, not a curated record. The transcript is spliced from 4 exons.
AUACCUAGGCUUUAUAGUUCCUGAGAUUUCGUGAUUAGUCAGUGAGUGAGUGAGUCAGUGAUUGGUAUUACGCUAUU